CUGCCUGGUAGUGGGGGACAACGUUUCGAAAGGAACGCUAAUACCGCAUACGUCCUACGGGAGAAAGCAGGGGACCUUCGGGCCUUGCGCUAUCAGAUGAGCCUAGGUCGGAUUAGCUAGUUGGUGAGGUAAUGGCUCACCAAGGCUGCGAUCCGUAACUGGUCUGAGAGGAUGAUCAGUCACACUGGAACUGAGACACGGUCCAGACUCCUACGGGAGGCAGCAGUGGGGAAUAUUGGACAAUGGGCGAAAGCCUGAUCCAGCCAUGCCGCGUGUGUGAAGAAGGUCUUCGGAUUGUAAAGCACUUUAAGUUGGGAGGAAGGGCAGUAAGUUAAUACCUUGCUGUUUUGACGUUACCGACAGAAUAAGCACCGGCUAACUUCGUGCCAGCAGCCGCGGUAAUACGAAGGGUGCAAGCGUUAAUCGGAAUUACUGGGCGUAAAGCGCGCGUAGG
This 454-nucleotide ribosomal RNA is filed under the name Pseudomonas sp. Its description in RNAcentral is "bacterial SSU rRNA". It matches the Rfam family "Bacterial small subunit ribosomal RNA", at positions 126 to 575 of the family's 1533-position model. Lineage: Bacteria; Pseudomonadati; Pseudomonadota; Gammaproteobacteria; Pseudomonadales; Pseudomonadaceae. The record is from RNAcentral.